ACUGAUUGAUCAUGGCUCAGGAUGAACGCUGGCGGUAUGCCUAACACAUGCAAGUCGUACGGGAGUUUUUAACUCCAGUGGCGGACGGGUGAGUAACACGUGAGAAUUUGCCUUUAGGAGGGGGAUAACAGAUUGAAAAGUCUGCUAAUACCCCAUAUGCUUUCGAGUGAAAUGAAUUUAUUCGCCUAGAGAGAAGCUCGCGGCUGAUUAGCUUGUUGGUAAGGUAACGGCUUACCAAGGCGACGAUCAGUAUCUGGUUUGAGAGGAUGAUCAGACACACUGGAACUGAGACACGGUCCAGACUCCUACGGGAGGCAGCAGUGGGGAAUUUUCCGCAAUGGGCGAAAGCCUGACGGAGCAAUACCGCGUGAGGGAUGACGGCCUAUGGGUUGUAAACCUCUUUUCUCAGGGAGGAACACAAUGACGUUACCUGAGGAAUAAGCAUCGGCUAACUCCGUGCCAGCAGCCGCGGUAAGACGGAGGAUGCAAGUGUUAUCCGGAAUCACUGGGCGUAAAGCGUCUGUAGGUGGUUUAGCAAGUCAACUGUUAAAUCUUGAAGCUCAACUUCAAAAUCGCAGUCGAAACUGUUAGACUAGAGUAUAGUAGGGGUAAAGGGAAUUUCCAGUGGAGCGGUGAAAUGCGUAGAGAUUGGAAAGAACACCGGUGGCGAAGGCACUUUACUGGGCUAUUACUGACACUCAGAGACGAAAGCUAGGGUAGCAAAUGGGAUUAGAUACCCCAGUAGUCCUAGCCGUAAACAAUGGAUACUAGAUGUUGGGCAGAUCGACCUGUUCAGUAUUAAAGCUAACGCGUUAAGUAUCCCGCCUGGGAAGUAUGCGCGCAAGCGUGAAACUCAAAGGAAUUGACGGGGGCCCGCACAAGCGGUGGAGCAUGUGGUUUAAUUCGAUGCAACGCGAAGAACCUUACCAGGGUUUGACAUGAUACGAAUUUUCUUGAAAGAGAAAAUUGCCGUUUGGAACGUAUACACAGGUGGUGCAUGGCUGUCGUCAGCUCCUGUCCUGAGAUGUUGGGGUUAAUUCCCGCAACGAAGGGCAACCCUUAAUUUUAAUUGGCCUUUUAUGUGAAUCUUAG
RNAcentral lists this ribosomal RNA (1092 nucleotides) under uncultured bacterium. RNAcentral's name for it is "bacterial SSU rRNA". It matches the Rfam family "Bacterial small subunit ribosomal RNA", at positions 1 to 1143 of the family's 1533-position model. The record is from RNAcentral.